UUGUAACAAAAAAAAAUAAAGAAAAUAAGAGAGAGAAAGAGAGAGGUUACUUACUUACCUUUUUGAAUUUUCUGAAUAUUGAAAUUAGUUAGAAGAAUAAAACUCCAACCAAUUCCACCAUUUAGAGAGAGAAACUCAGAGAGAUCUGGUUCUCUGUUUCAGAUCGUAGCUUAGAGUCUGGUUUAGGGUUUCGGUUUCGAUCGAUCCCUAUUUUUCAGGCACAGAUAACACAAACGCUUUCAUCUCUCAAUUUCGCUUUCUCAUCGAUUCAUUAUCAUCAUCUAUGGCGGCGAUCGAAGAAUUAUCGGACCUCGCUGAUUCCAUUCGUCAAUCUUGUCCGUUACUCGCAGACGAAGAUAUCGACGAAACUUCCAAUUCUAGACGACCUUCAACUUUCCUCAACGUUGUUGCUCUCGGCAACAUCGGUUCUGGUAAAUCAGCGGUUUUGAACUGUUUAAUUGGACAUCCAGUUCCGGUGGUUUAAAGACAUUCAUGGCAGGAUAGGUUGAGUACGGCCAUCUCAGCCAAGGCUCGAGAUCAAAUAACUUUGAUACUACGCAGGUCUUUGUGUGAAUGAGUGAUGAUGAUGAUUUUGGUUACCUUAAUGUGUUUUAAUUAGAGUAUUAGAUAUAAUAGAAUUAUACGGAUAUGAAAAGGAUAUAAAUUUCUGGAUUAUUACCAUUUCCCGUCCAAAGUUGCUGUCUUUCUUGACAAUAUCGUAGUCAUCUGGUGAAUUUUUUGUCGUUUUCUAUAACCGGGUUGCAAACUUGGUUGAAAUUAACCCAAGCAAUUUUGCCUCAUUCUCGAUUCUAUACACGAUCCCAAUCACAAUUUUGAUAACAAUGAUUAUGAGGCCAGAACCUACUGUUUUUGAAAUGAUGGAUUGGAUUUCGUCUUUUUUAAUGAUCGGAUCUGUAGAUCGACAUAUUUCGGCCUCAAAUAUCUAGGUUGAAGGCCAUCUCUUAAGGUUUACAGUUUCUGUUGCUGCGGUGCUUCGGUAUUGAAGGAGAAGAUUAGAAGACUAGGUUUAAGUUAGGUUAAAUGAAAAGGCUAUGUGGGAGUGAGACCUUCAGGCCCAAUCUACAUAAAUGGAUUUUUUUUAAGUCAAAAGGUGUGCAAAUGGUUAAAUAUUGCAUUGAUGAUCCUCAAGCCCAAAUCCUAUUCGCUAGAUAAAUUCGAUAUAUAUGUUACCUUGAUGAGCCUUAGUAAAAUUUUCGCAGACCCUUGAAUUCAAUUUUUAUUGGCUAUAUAGAUUCGUUUAUAUGUUGCCUCAAUGAGCCUUAUUGAAAGUUGCCCAUCGAUGACCAUUAUUAAAAGUUGCCUGGAUGACCCUUAUUAAAAGUUGUCUGGAUGACCCUUAUUAAAAGUUGUCUGGAUGACCCUUAUUUAAAGUUGCCUGGAUGAUCCUUAUUUAAAGUUGCCUGGAUGACCCUUAAGUCAAAUUCUGAUUGGCUAUAUAAAUUCGGUUAUAAGUUGCCUCAUUGACCUUUAUUAAAUGUUUUCUGGACGACAAUGAAGUCCAUUUCUUAUUGGCUAUAUAAAUUCGGUUACUUGUUGCCUUGACGACUGUUACUAGAUGUUGGCUUUAUAAGUUCGGUUAAAUGUUCCCUCAAUGACGCUUAUUAAAUGUUGCCUCAAUGACGCUUAUUAAAUGUUGCCUCAAUGACGCUUAUUAAAUGUUGGUUCGACGACCCUUAAGUCCAAUAUUUAUUGGCUAUAUAAUUUUGGUUACAUGUUGCCUCAAUUAUCCAAGUCGUAUUCUUAUUGGCUCAAUGACCUUUAAGUUCAAUUAUUAUUGGGAUUAUAAAUUUGGUUAAUUAUUGACUUGAUGACCCUUAUAUCUCAUUGUUGCCGGAAAUAAAUUUGAACAUGGUCAAAUGGUUACUCAACAUGUCAAGGUUGCUCGAGAAUUAAAUCUAAUGUUGAGUACGGCUACCUCAGCCAAGGCUGGAGAUCAAAUAACUGUGAAGCUACGCACAAGUACAGGUUGCAAACUGGGUUGAAAUUAACCCAAGCAAAAACGACGCAGUUACUUUUAAUUAUGGUCGUGUAGAAUCAUCCAGAACUGCACUAUUUCACAAAAAUUCACUUGUUUAUUUAGAUUGAAAAGAUUGUUAAAGACAUUCAUGGACCAGCACUGACACUUGUUCUUGAGAAGAUAAAACCAUAUGGAGCUUUUCAAGAUCACUGACGAGGAAAAAGAAUUUCAAACUUAAGAUUGGAGAUAAAUCAAGCCGCAUUAGGAACACAAGAAGUCCCAGUACUUGUUGAAGCUCAUGUCCAUGGAACAGAAGAUGUGCGGGAAUUGCUCAAGACUGGAAAUAGUCAGAUUUGUUGGCUCCACCUCUGCCAAUGAGCUUAGCAGCUGUUCAUGUUGGGUAAUGAAAACCUGGUUGUUUUUCAUGCGGUUUGUUGCGAGUAACAGUCAUCGGGGAGAAUUCAUUUUCAAUCAAUGUCCAGAAAACAAGGAGUCACCUUUGGCUAGUAGACUUAGCAGGUAGCGAGCGUGUGGGAAAAACUCAAGCUGUGGGAGAAAGAUUAAAGGAAUCUUAAUUCAUAAACAAGUUUCUUUCGGCACUAGGUGCUGUUAUUUCUGCUCUUGCUUCCUUACAGAAUUGAGAGUGGCCCAGCUCGCAAACAAGUAGACCUCAGUGAGCUGUUUAAGUACAAACUAAUGGCAGAAAAGGCCAAACACGAUGAGAAGGAAACAAAGAAGUUACUUGAUAGUCUGCAAACUUUGCAAUUCAGACUUGCUGAGAGAGAAUACCAUUGUAAAAACUUUCAAGAAAAGGUACGGGACCUGGAGAAUCAAGUAGCAGAAGAAAGAAAACUAGACUAAAGCAAGAAAAAUUAGACCACCACCUGUACAAUCAACAACACAGGAAGUUCUACAAUGGAUCAGAAACAUAGUUCAGGAGUUUGGAGCUCCAAACAUUACUUUCACCACUACUAAAGUCAACUUAUCAUCAUUGAAAACCAAUGCAUCUUCAACAUGUUCUCUAUCUCCACCCAAUUCUCCCAGUAACAUCUCAUUACUACUGCAAUCUUGAUCCUGAAAGUAAAGUGUUUUAUUUUUUGGUUUUCUUGAUCUUUCACAGUUUCAGAUAAAUGAAAUUUCUUCGGAAAAUCAAGAGGAAACAGAAGAACUCAAGCUUCUUGUUGAAUGGAAGAGACAGAAAGUGGAUUUAAAGGAUUUAAAGCUUCCAUGUUUAGUUUUGGUAAGCACAUGUUUAUCAUGCAUCGGGCAAUUGUUUUGUGGCAAACAUGGUUAGCUUAGUUCUAUUACUUUUAUGGAGUGGUGCAUUUUGAUCUAUCAAGUUCUGCAAAUUCCCUCACAAACUUUAUGGGUUCAGCUUUCUUGCUUUCUCUUGUUGGUGACUUCAUCUCGGUACUUAUUUGAAUAGCUAGGUUCACCACGUGCUUGCUUUUUGGAUGACUAGAAGUUAUGGUGGUAAGUUCUUCAAAAUCGCAAAAAAAAACAUCAUAUGACAUACACAAUUUUUUUAUCUGUUUUUUGUGUGGUUUUCUUUUUGACAUGAAAUUUCCCAACUUACAACGUCUGGUUUCAUAAUGUCGGGUCCCAAACUGACGUUAAAAGUAAUUUUCAAAUCGGAUCACCAAGACUACAGACGUGAAAAGUGAAGACUUACAACGUCUGUUGUCAUAUUGUCGGGUUACAAACUGACGUCAAAUCUGUUCAGCAAGACAACCGACGUGAAAAGUCCAUACAUACAACAACGUCUGGUUUCUAGUGGUCGGCUCCCAAACCAAUGUUAAAAGACUUUUUAAAUCAGUUCCGAAAGACAACAGACGUAAAGUAAAGUUUAUAUACCGUUUCACUCGAAAUCUCGUGUAGAUCAUGAAAAUAAACUUAGAUUUUUUAA
Long non-coding RNA from Trifolium pratense (red clover), 3884 nucleotides. RefSeq lists it as uncharacterized. The record is from RefSeq and is a predicted model, not a curated record. The transcript has 14 exons. NCBI's taxonomy places the organism in Eukaryota, Viridiplantae, Streptophyta, Magnoliopsida, Fabales, Fabaceae.